Molecule: ribosomal RNA, 429 nt
Filed under: Pseudomonadota bacterium
Lineage: Bacteria; Pseudomonadati; Pseudomonadota
Description: Proteobacteria bacterium partial 16S ribosomal RNA
Rfam family: Bacterial small subunit ribosomal RNA
Source: RNAcentral
UGGGGAAUAUUGGACAAUGGGCGAAAGCCUGAUCCAGCCAUGCCGCGUGUGUGAAGAAGGUCUUCGGAUUGUAAAGCACUUUAAGUUGGGAGGAAGGGCAGUAAGCGAAUACCUUGCUGUUUUGACGUUACCGACAGAAUAAGCACCGGCUAACUCUGUGCCAGCAGCCGCGGUAAUACAGAGGGUGCAAGCGUUAAUCGGAAUUACUGGGCGUAAAGCGCGCGUAGGUGGUUCGUUAAGUUGAAUGUGAAAGCCCCGGGCUCAACCUGGGAACUGCAGCCAAAACUGGCGGGCUAGAGUAGGGCAGAAGGUGGUGGAAUUUCCUGUGUAGCGGUGAAAUGCGUAGAUAUAGGAAGGAACACCAGUGGCGAAGGCGACCACCUGGUGUCAUACUGACACUGUGGUGCGAAAGCGUGGGGAGCAAACAGG